GACGAACGCUGGCGGCGUGCUUAACACAUGCAAGUUGAACGAUGAAGCUGGAGCUUGCUCCGGUGGAUUAGUGGCGAACGGGUGAGUAACACGUGAGCAAUCUGCCCUUGACUCUGGGAUAACUGCGGGAAACUGUAGCUAAUACCGGAUAUGAGGCUUGGAGGCAUCUCCAGGUCUGGAAAGAAUUUCGGUCAAGGAUGAGCUCGCGGCCUAUCAGCUAGUUGGUGAGGUAAUGGCUCACCAAGGCGACGACGGGUAGCCGGCCUGAGAGGGUGACCAGCCACACUGGGACUGAGAAACGGCCCAGACUCCUACGGGAGGCAGCAGUGGGGAAUAUUGCACAAUGGGCGGAAGCCUGAUGCAGCAACGCCGCGUGAGGGAUGAAGGCCUUCGGGUUGUAAACCUCUUUUAGCAGGGAAGAAGCGAAAGUGACGGUACCUGCAGAAAAAGCACCGGCUAACUACGUGCCAGCAGCCGCCGUAA
Molecule: ribosomal RNA, 483 nt
Filed under: uncultured bacterium
Lineage: Bacteria
Description: partial 16S ribosomal RNA
Rfam family: Bacterial small subunit ribosomal RNA
Source: RNAcentral